UGUUACCUACGGGAGGCAGCAGGGGGGGAUAUUGCACAAUGGGGGAAACCCUGAUGCAGCAACGCCGCGUGAGUGAUGACGGCCUUCGGGUUGUAAAGCUCUGUCUUCAGGGACGAUAAUGACGGUACCUGAGGAGGAAGCCACGGCUAACUACGUGCCAGCAGCCGCGGUAAUACGUAGGUGGCGAGCGUUGUCCGGAUUUACUGGGCGUAAAGGGAGCGUAGGCGGGCUUUUAAGUGAGAUGUGAAAUACUCGGGAUCAACUUGAGUG
This 270-nucleotide ribosomal RNA is filed under the name uncultured bacterium. RNAcentral describes it as "partial 16S ribosomal RNA". It matches the Rfam family "Bacterial small subunit ribosomal RNA", at positions 333 to 620 of the family's 1533-position model. The record is from RNAcentral.